RNAcentral lists this unclassified non-coding RNA (224 nucleotides) under Mucoromycotina sp. RNAcentral's name for it is "partial contains small subunit ribosomal RNA, internal transcribed spacer 1, and 5.8S ribosomal RNA". The stretch from base 1 to 47 matches the Rfam family "Eukaryotic small subunit ribosomal RNA", at positions 1785 to 1831 of the family's 1831-position model. The record is from RNAcentral. Lineage: Eukaryota; Fungi; Mucoromycota.
AAAGUCGUAACAAGGUUUCCGUAGGUGAACCUGCGGAAGGAUCAUUCAUAAUAAGUGUUUUAUGGCACUUUUUAAAUCCAUAUCCACCUUGUGUGCAAUGUCGGCCGAUCUUUCUUUUUUGGAAGAUCAGCCAAACAUCAACUUAUUUUUUAACUCUUUGUCUGAAAAAUAUUAUGAAUAAACAAUUCAAAAUACAACUUUCAACAACGGAUCUCUUGGCUCUC